AGCAACGCCGCGUGAGGGAGGAAGGUCUUUGGAUUGUAAACCUCUUUUCUCAAGGAAGAAGUUCUGACGGUACUUGAGGAAUCAGCCUCGGCUAACUCCGUGCCAGCAGCCGCGGUAAUACGGGGGAGGCAAGCGUUAUCCGGAAUUAUUGGGCGUAAAGCGUCCGCAGGUGGUCAGCCAAGUCUGCCGUCAAAUCAGGUUGCUUAACGACCUAAAGGCGGUGGAAACUGGCAGACUAGAGAGCAGUAGGGGUAGCAGGAAUUCCCAGUGUAGCGGUGAAAUGCGUAGAGAUUGGGAAGAACAUCGGUGGCGAAAGCGUG
Molecule: ribosomal RNA, 320 nt
Filed under: uncultured cyanobacterium
Lineage: Bacteria; Bacillati; Cyanobacteriota
Description: bacterial SSU rRNA
Rfam family: Bacterial small subunit ribosomal RNA
Source: RNAcentral